Molecule: small nucleolar RNA, 138 nt
Filed under: Ornithorhynchus anatinus (platypus)
Lineage: Eukaryota; Metazoa; Chordata; Mammalia; Monotremata; Ornithorhynchidae
Source: RNAcentral
GCCCUCUCAGGGUCACACCUGGAGAGUUUGUAGUACUCUACCAGUCUCGACUAUGGAAGGGAGAGUCAAGCAGAGGCCUACCCAUUCCAUUCUUAGCUUGGGCUGUGACUAGUGAGUGGAAGGCAAUCUGCUACUAGC